GGCUUUAUAGUCAAUAAAAUGAUAUCAGACUGCAAUUCUGAAGUAGUAAAAAUACUAAAGCUU
Molecule: transfer RNA, 63 nt
Filed under: Canthesancus helluo
Lineage: Eukaryota; Metazoa; Arthropoda; Insecta; Hemiptera; Reduviidae
Description: tRNA-Cys
Source: RNAcentral